RNAcentral lists this ribosomal RNA (214 nucleotides) under uncultured bacterium. RNAcentral describes it as "partial 16S ribosomal RNA". It matches the Rfam family "Bacterial small subunit ribosomal RNA", at positions 1287 to 1500 of the family's 1533-position model. The record is from RNAcentral.
CUCAGUUCAGAUUGCAGGCUGCAACUCGCCUGCAUGAAGUCGGAAUUGCUAGUAAUCGUAGGUCAGCAUACUACGGUGAAUACGUUCCCGGGCCUUGUACACACCGCCCGUCAAACCAUGAGAGUUGGCAACACCCGAAGUCGGUAGUCUAACCGCAAGGAGGACGCCGCCGAAGGUGGGGUUGAUGAUUAGGGUUAAGUCGUAACAAGGUACC